AGAGGAAUAGCUGGGUCAAAUGGUGGUUUCAAUCCCAGUUUUCCAAGGAAUCUCCACACUGCUUUCCAAAUUGGCUGCACCAAUUUGCAGUCCCACCAGCAGU
RNAcentral lists this microRNA precursor (103 nucleotides) under Marmota monax (woodchuck). Lineage: Eukaryota; Metazoa; Chordata; Mammalia; Rodentia; Sciuridae. The record is from RNAcentral.